GAUGAACGCUGGCGGCGUGCUUAACACAUGCAAGUCGAACGGAAAGGCUCCUGCUUGCAGGGGUACUCGAGUGGCGAACGGGUGAGUAACACGUGGGUGAUCUGCCCUGCACUUCGGGAUAAGCCUGGGAAACUGGGUCUAAUACCGGAUAGGACCACAUUUUGGAUGGUGUGGUGGAAAGUUUUUCGGUGUGGGAUGAGCUCGCGGCCUAUCAGCUUGUUGGUGGGGUAAUGGCCUACCAAGGCGUCGACGGGUAGCCGGCCUGAGAGGGUGUACGGCCACAUUGGGACUGAGAUACGGCCCAGACUCCUACGGGAGGCAGCAAUGGGGAAUAUUGCACAAUGGGCGCAAGCCUGAUGCAGCGACGCCGCGGGGGGGAUGACGGCCUUCGGGUUGUAAACUCCUGUCGCUAGGGACGAAGCGUUUUUGUGACGGUACCUGGAGAAGAAGCACCGGCUAACUACGUG
Molecule: ribosomal RNA, 467 nt
Filed under: uncultured bacterium
Lineage: Bacteria
Description: partial 16S ribosomal RNA
Rfam family: Bacterial small subunit ribosomal RNA
Source: RNAcentral